CCUACGGGGGGCAGCAGUGGGGGAUAUUGCACAAUGGGCGAAAGCCUGAUGCAGCGACGCCGCGUGAGGGAAGACGGUCUUCGGAUUGUAAACCUCUGUCUUUGGGGAAGAAAUCAGACGGUACCCAAAGAGGAAGCUCAGGCAAACAACGUGCCAGCAGCCGCGGUAAUACGUGGGGAGGGAGCGUUGUCCGGAAUUACUGGGGGAAAAGGGAGCGUAGGCGGGCUUGUAAGUUGAAUGUCUAACCCACCGGCUCAACCGGUGAGCGCGUUCAAAACUGCAGGUCUUGAGUGAAGUAGAGGCAGGCGGAAUUCCUAGUGUAGCGGUGAAAGGCGUAGAUAUUAGGAGGAACACCAGUGGCGAAGGCGGCCUGCUGGGCUUUAACUGACGCUGAGGCGCGAAAGCGUGGGGAGCAAACAGGAUUAGAUACCCGAGUAGUC
Molecule: ribosomal RNA, 440 nt
Filed under: uncultured bacterium
Lineage: Bacteria
Description: partial 16S ribosomal RNA
Rfam family: Bacterial small subunit ribosomal RNA
Source: RNAcentral